UAACUUAGUGGCAGACCGGGUGAGUAAUGUAUAGGAAUCUACCUAGUAGUACGGAAUAAUUGUUGGAAACGACAACUAAUACCGUAUACGCCCUACGGGGGAAAAAUUUAUUGCUAUUAGAUGAGCCUAUAUUAGAUUAGCUAGUUGGUGGGGUAAUAGCCUACCAAGGUAAUGAUCUAUAGCUGAUCUGAGAGGAUGAUCAGCCACACUGGAACUGAGAUACGGUCCAGACUCCUACGGGAGGCAGCAGUGGGGAAUAUUGGACAAUGGGCGAAAGCCUGAUCCAGCCAUGCCGCAUGAGUGAAGAAGGCCUUUGGGUUGUAAAGCUCUUUUAGUGAGGAAGAUAAUGACGGUACUCACAGAAGAAGUCCUGGCUAACUCCGUGCCAGCAGCCGCGGUAAUACGGAGAGGGCUAGCGUUAUUCGGAAUUAUUGGGCGUAAAGGGCGCGUAGGCUGGUUAAUAAGUUAAAAGUGAAAUCCCGAGGCUUAACCUUGGAAUUGCUUUUAAAACUAUUAAUCUAGAGAUUGAAAGAGGAUAGGGGAAUUCCUGAUGUAGAGGUAAAAUUCGUAAAUAUUAGGAGGAACACCAGUGGCGAAGGCGUCUAUCUGGUUCAAAUCUGACGCUGAAGCGCGAAGGCGUGGGGAGCAAACAGGAUUAGAUACCCUGGUAGUCCACGCUGUAAACGAUGAAUGUUAAAUAUGGGGAGUUUACUUUCUGUAUUACAGCUAACGCGUUAAACAUUCCGCCUGGGGACUACGGUCGCAAGAUUAAAACUCAAAGGAAUUGACGGGGACCCGCACAAGCGGUGGAGCAUGUGGUUUAAUUCGAUGCAACGCGAAACCUUACCACUUCUGACAUGAAAAUAAACCCUUAUACA
RNAcentral lists this ribosomal RNA (878 nucleotides) under Wolbachia pipientis. Its description in RNAcentral is "bacterial SSU rRNA". It matches the Rfam family "Bacterial small subunit ribosomal RNA", at positions 88 to 1006 of the family's 1533-position model. Lineage: Bacteria; Pseudomonadati; Pseudomonadota; Alphaproteobacteria; Rickettsiales; Anaplasmataceae. The record is from RNAcentral.